This 569-nucleotide long non-coding RNA is filed under the name Polistes fuscatus (common paper wasp). RNAcentral's name for it is "uncharacterized LOC122516391". The record is from RNAcentral. Lineage: Eukaryota; Metazoa; Arthropoda; Insecta; Hymenoptera; Vespidae.
AAAAGUAUUUCAAUCGCCCCAAUAUAAGUGUGUGCAAUGUGUAGGUCCACAUUUAACUGUGGAAUGCAAAAAAUGAGUUUAAACUCGACGAACUUGUCUCCUAUGUGGCGACCACCAUAUCGCGAACUAUAAAGGGUGGCAUUGUUACCAAGAAUUGCUCAAGAAAAUUGCUCAAAGUUCUCGAGAUCCAAACUAAGGGAACAUCCAAACAUCCAAUCAAGCUUAAGGACCAACUAAGUCGGAAAUAAUCAACGUUUUAUCGAUCCAACAGUUUCUUAUGCACAAACUACGAAAGGAAAUAAUCGCUUCCCAAACAUCCCAAGUUCGUUAACUUCGGAUUUAGAAAAUAAAAACGAAAAUGCUUACACUUCUGAUAACGUUUACUACACGCAUCAUCCCAGUGGAAGGACACAUGUACGGUGAUUAUUAUUAAAUCUAAUAUAAAACAUUGUGAACUUGCACCCAUCAAACAAGACUAUGUUUAGUCAACAAGUGUUAUAAUAGACAACUGAUACAGUCCGCUCAAUAUCUCAAUAGUUCAUUGUCCUCCAAGACAUAAUAUUCAAAAA